UUAAGAAAAUUGGGGCUUAAAAACUCAUUUAAUUUCAUAGCAGAUUAUAUUCUCAAAUUGAAUUGAGGGGAAAGGUCUUUUGAGGUUAGUAAGAAGCAUCAAUAAGGGAGCUGAGACAGCAGUUUUUACUUCAGACUAUUUCAAAAAUCAAGAGCAGAGCUAAGAAUAGAUGUUCAUAAUGGCCAAUCCAGUUUUCAGACCACAGACACAUGCUCCCUGGCCCCCAUGCCUACUUAGAGCAUCAUCUUAGAAAAUGCAAUGUUUGGAUAUCUCUAAAGAGACUCUGAGUCACUUCCCUACUCAACCUCAAUUUCUUUUAUUCCCUUGGUUCAUCAUUAGACUGAUAGCAAAGCUGAGACAAGAACCAAGGAAAGGCUUCUGAUUCAAGAGAGUGCAUUGAACACAAGCACAUGCUGAAUUAUCUUCCAUCUGCUUUAAAUUCAUGAAAAAUACUGGGCACAUACUUAUAAUAAUUAACACACAAUUAUUGUUAAAUUCUAGGAAAGAAAAAUCUCUGGAGAAUACAAGUGAAAAUG
Molecule: non-coding RNA, 536 nt
Organism: Chlorocebus sabaeus (green monkey)
Lineage: Eukaryota; Metazoa; Chordata; Mammalia; Primates; Cercopithecidae
Source: RefSeq, a predicted model, not a curated record